Molecule: ribosomal RNA, 468 nt
Filed under: uncultured bacterium
Lineage: Bacteria
Description: partial 16S ribosomal RNA
Rfam family: Bacterial small subunit ribosomal RNA
Source: RNAcentral
GACGAACGCUGGCGGCGUGCUUAACACAUGCAAGUCGAACGGAAAGGCCCUGCUUUUGUGGGGUGCUCGAGUGGCGAACGGGUGAGUAACACGUGAGUAACCUGCCCUUGACUUUGGGAUAACUUCAGGAAACUGGGGCUAAUACCGGAUAGGAGCUCCUGCUGCAUGGUUGGGGUUGGAAAGUUUCGGCGGUUGGGGAUGGACUCGCGGCUUAUCAGCUUGUUGGUGGGGUAGUGGCUUACCAAGGCUUUGGCGGGUAGCCGGCCUGAGAGGGUGACCGGCCACAUUGGGACUGAGAUACGGCCCAGACUCCUACGGGAGGCAGCAGUGGGGAAUAUUGCACAAUGGGCGGAAGCCUGAUGCAGCAACGCCGCGUGCGGGAUGACGGCCUUCGGGUUGUAAACCGCUUUCGCCUGUGACGAAGCGUGAGUGACGGUAAUGGGUAAAGAAGCACCGGCUAACUACGUG